AUGCGUGGCGGCGCUGCACUGAAAUUACUACGUUUACGUCACCACUUGAACUUCUCACUGAGUUGGUAUUUGAAUGUUAGCUUAACUUCAAGUUCAAAACAUACUUUAUUCGUUUUUUGGAACACUCUGUGGAUACUAAUAAGAAUGUCAAAAAGAAAGCAGCCAAACCUCAGUCAAUUUGGAUUUACAAAACAAACGAAGAGGAGUGAUGACAGCGCACCAGGCGAUCAUGAUCAUGCAACACCUUUCAACUGGACAACGAAGCAAUGGAGUGAGUGGAGAAUUCUUUUCUGCCGUGGAUUCUACUGACAGCAAGUAUCGCAACAAGUUGCGUGAACAAUGCCUCUGCUCGCUUCUCUUCGUGGAUCUGAAUGGACCCCCUUUGGAGCAAUUUGACCCUCUGCCUUUUGUAUCAUCUUGGAUUAAAGCCGGUCACCGACCCUCAACAUCCUGGGUUACAGGACGGAAAGCAAAGACAGAAGACCCCAGGCUUCUGUGGUCACUUCUGAUUUAAGGUAAGAAUCAUGGAAUUACUUACUUGAUCUGUGCGUUUGUGAGGAUUGGCCCUAAUCCUAUUUAAUAUUGAUGUAUUUUUUUUAUGAUUGUUAUGUGAGUUAUUCUGUUUUUUUUAAUCAUGAUUUGCAUGAUGUAGGCCUAAGCGCGGUUGAUUCAGAACCGUGGACAGAGCUGUUUGCCCUAACACUGACAACACUGACUGACGCUUGCGUUUUAAAGUAAACGGUUUACUAAGAAAACAAUAGGUUUACUGUAAACCUAUUGUUUUAAAUGCCCUAACAUGCACCAAAAGCGUUAAAGUCAGUCAGGGAGGAUCGGAAAAUAGGGCUCCCCCGAAAGCCACUUUGUAAUUCGAGCCCUGCUUAGGUCCAUCCCUAACUCCUCCUUAUGCUGGCGGAUGAUCAUUUAUCUGCAUGUCCAAAGAGGUACAGCAUAUCUCUCUAUCCAGCUCAUUGUUGCUCAGUCUUCUCCAAACUAAUUACAGUGUUGUAUUGAUAACACAUGGAAUUAUAUGUAACUGCUGCUUAUAAAAUUACUGGUUAAUUGCCUUAAGAUUCAGGGGUUCAAUCCUCUGCUGCCAAAUAGCUAGUGUUCAAAAACCUAAAGCCAUGGAGGAGACAGGAGGGACUUAAAGCAGGUGGAGCCAGGUAGGACCCAGGCCACAGCUGUGAAGGCGGCCCACGGUGGAGAAAAAGGAGGGAGGAGCUAUGGUUUGGGGAGAGCUGAUGAUUCCAGGGGGUUGACCAAUGUCUAUGGAGCAGGUGGUGGAGGAGCGUGAGGCAGAGAUGGAGAGCCCAUGAGCCAGGGUGACGAGGAGGAUCCGGAGGGCCAAGGCGGAGCAGAUGGCUCAGGCAACCGAGGCAGAGGCUGGGAUCCAGAAGGCCGUGGCGGAGCUGGAGCGACAGAGGACCAUGGAGGAGCCGAUGGGAAGGUGGGGGCAAAUGUCUGCAUGGUUAAUGAGGAUAGGUCACCCAUUCAAUUGAUAAAUUAAUGGCUAGUUUAAGGUGUAAAAGAAACUGAACUAUUAUAGUAUUAAUUAAAAGUAAACUGACUCUAAUAAUCAGUCUCUUGCUUUCCUUGUGUUAAUACGCAUAUAGAAGCAUAAUUCGGCAGCAAAUGAAGACUGAAGCCAGGAUGUGGUUUUCCAAUUAUUAUUAUUUUUUUUAAAUCAGUUUAAAAAAGUAAUUGAAGUCACAUAAAUCACUAUUUACACAACUCACUUAUAUUACACUGCUCAUUUACAACAUUACUUAUAUUACACCGCUCAUUUGUAUUACACUGCUCACUUAUAUCACAUUACUCACUUAUAUCACAUUAUAUUACAUUGCACUGCUUACAUUACUCACUUCAUCUGUGCUGAGGUCUUUGUUUUUUUUAUUAUUUUUGUUUUUUUAGUUUUUCAUAUUUUAUAUGAAAGAUAUUAAAGCAGUUUUUAAUUUUUUUCUUGUUGUUAAAAUUCAAAAUAGUUUUUAAAUAUAAUUGGAUGUCACUGUUCCCACCAAUCCUUGCACAAGUUAAGGUUACGCAUGAUGACGAAAGCACGUUGCACAAUGCGAGCCCUCCCGGAACUCACAGAGAUUGUGAAUGAACAUGAGUAACAUGAGAAUCUGAAUGAACGAGUACAAUAAGAGCACGUUAUAAAGAUCUUCACAAACAGAGCCUAUUGUAAAGUUUAGUAUAAACAUUCUUAAUCUAACAUUAUUAACUCUUUUAUAUCCUUGCCGUCUAUUUUAUAGAACAUAAAAAAAAAAAAAACAUCCUGGUGUCGUGAGAUAUUAGAUGCAGUGAAUGAAUCUUCAUAAUGCUUCACUUGAUUAUACAUUUAGUCAGGAAUCAUGGUUUGGAAAAAGUCUAACUAGUAAAAUAUGUAGCCAACAAGUUAUAUCACAAUAACACAGUAACAAAACCCAAGUAGACUAAUAAAAAAAAAGACUUACUCGUGUAAAUGAUAUCC
Long non-coding RNA from Cyprinus carpio (common carp), 2470 nucleotides. Lineage: Eukaryota; Metazoa; Chordata; Actinopteri; Cypriniformes; Cyprinidae. The record is from Ensembl.